This 254-nucleotide ribosomal RNA is filed under the name uncultured bacterium. RNAcentral describes it as "partial 16S ribosomal RNA". It matches the Rfam family "Bacterial small subunit ribosomal RNA", at positions 524 to 776 of the family's 1533-position model. The record is from RNAcentral.
GACGAACCGUGCGAACGUUAUUCGGAAUCACUGGGCUUAAAGCGCGUGUAGGCGGAUGAGCACGUCUGUCGCUGAAAUCCCCCGGCUCAACCGGGGAACGGGCGCGGAUACGGCUCGUCUCGAGGGGCGUAGGGGGACCUGGAACUUCCGGUGGAGCGGUGAAAUGCGUUGAGAUCGGAAGGAACGCCCGUGGCGAAAGCGAGGUCCUGGACGCCUACUGACGCUGAGACGCGAAAGCCAGGGGAGCGAAUGGG